RNAcentral lists this ribosomal RNA (481 nucleotides) under uncultured bacterium. RNAcentral describes it as "partial 16S ribosomal RNA". It matches the Rfam family "Bacterial small subunit ribosomal RNA", at positions 28 to 507 of the family's 1533-position model. The record is from RNAcentral.
GAUGAACGCUGGCGGCGUGCUUAACACAUGCAAGUCGAACGAAGCACUUUAUUUGAUUUCCUUCGGGACUGAUUAUUUUGUGACUGAGUGGCGGACGGGUGAGUAACGCGUGGGUAACCUGCCUUGUACAGGGGGAUAACAGUUGGAAACGGCUGCUAAUACCGCAUAAGCGCACGGCAUCGCAUGAUGCAGUGUGAAAAACUCCGGUGGUAUAAGAUGGACCCGCGUUGGAUUAGCUAGUUGGUGAGGUAACGGCCCACCAAGGCGACGAUCCAUAGCCGACCUGAGAGGGUGACCGGCCACAUUGGGACUGAGACACGGCCCAAACUCCUACGGGAGGCAGCAGUGGGGAAUAUUGCACAAUGGGCGAAAGCCUGAUGCAGCGACGCUGCGUGAGCGAAGAAGUAUUUCGGUAUGUAAAGCUCUAUCAGCAGGGAAGAUAAUGACGGUACCUGACUAAGAAGCACCGGCUAAAUACGUG